GAUGAACGCUGGCGGCGUGCCUAAUACAUGCAAGUCGAGCGAACGGACGAGAAGCUUGCUUCUCUGAUGUUAGCGGCGGACGGGUGAGUAACACGUGGAUAACCUACCUAUAAGACUGGGAUAACUUCGGGAAACCGGAGCUAACACCGGAUGAUAUCUUGAACCGCAUGGUUCAAAAGUGAAAGACGGUCUUGCUGUCACUUAUAGAUGGAUCCGCGCUGCAUUAGCUAGUUGGUAAGGUAACGGCUUACCAAGGCAACGAUGCAUAGCCGACCUGAGAGGGUGAUCGGCCACACUGGAACUGAGACACGGUCCAGACUCCUGCGGGAGGCAGCAGUAGGGAAUCUUCCGCAAUGGGCGAGAGCCUGACGGAGCAACGCCGCGUGAGUGAUGAAGGUCUUCGGAUCGUAAAACUCUGUUAUUAGGGAAGAACAUAUGUGUAAGUAACUGUGCACAUCUUGACGGUACCUAAUCAGAAAGCCACGGCUAACUACGUG
This 497-nucleotide ribosomal RNA is filed under the name uncultured bacterium. Its description in RNAcentral is "partial 16S ribosomal RNA". It matches the Rfam family "Bacterial small subunit ribosomal RNA", at positions 28 to 507 of the family's 1533-position model. The record is from RNAcentral.